ACGGAGGAUGCGAGCGUUAUCCGGAUUUAUUGGGUUUAAAGGGUGCGUAGGCGGCACGCUAAGUCAGCGGUGAAAUUUCCGGGCUCAACCCGGACUGUGCCGUUGAAACUGGCGAGCUAGAGUGCACAGGAGGCAGGCGGAAUGCGUGGUGUAGCGGUGAAAUGCGUAGAUAUCAGGAGGAACCCCGAUGGCGAAGGCAGCCUGCUAGAGUGCUACAGACGCUGAGGCACGAAAGCGUGGGUAGCAAACAG
This 251-nucleotide ribosomal RNA is filed under the name uncultured prokaryote. RNAcentral's name for it is "partial 16S rRNA". It matches the Rfam family "Bacterial small subunit ribosomal RNA", at positions 525 to 775 of the family's 1533-position model. The record is from RNAcentral.